CAGCGAGUUGCAUAGGACACUGUAUGACUUUAUUCUAUUUGAAGUUUCAUGGAACAAUGUUGUCCGAGGCAUCAACUACUUGAAUGAGCUUCAGGGGAGACACUACUUGCAAAAACACUAGCUCGAUUUGUGAAUGUGCCCUUUGUCAUCGCUGAUGCAACAACUUUGACACAGGUGCCUCACUUUUCCAACUGUGGGGUAAGAUGGGGCUUUAACUUCUGGGACAAAGACAGUAAACAGAGACUCAAGGUGUGUACAGAUCUCAUAUAAAAG
Molecule: long non-coding RNA, 273 nt
Organism: Juglans microcarpa x Juglans regia
Lineage: Eukaryota; Viridiplantae; Streptophyta; Magnoliopsida; Fagales; Juglandaceae
Exons: 3
Source: RefSeq, a predicted model, not a curated record